This 478-nucleotide ribosomal RNA is filed under the name uncultured bacterium. RNAcentral's name for it is "partial 16S ribosomal RNA". It matches the Rfam family "Bacterial small subunit ribosomal RNA", at positions 28 to 523 of the family's 1533-position model. The record is from RNAcentral.
AACGAACGCUGGCGGCAUGCUUAACACAUGCAAGUCGAACGGUAAGGCCCUUCGGGGUACACGAGUGGCGAACGGGUGAGUAACACGUGGGUGAUCUGCCCUGCACUUCGGGAUAAGCCUGGGAAACUGGGUCUAAUACCGGAUAGGACCACUGCCUGCAUGGGUGGUGGUGGAAAGCUUUUGCGGUGUGGGAUGGGCCCGCGGCCUAUCAGCUUGUUGGUGGGGUGAUGGCCUACCAAGGCGACGACGGGUAGCCGGCCUGAGAGGGUGACCGGCCACACUGGGACUGAGAUACGGCCCAGACUCCUACGGGAGGCAGCAGUGGGGAAUAUUGCACAAUGGGCGCAAGCCUGAUGCAGCGACGCCGCGUGAGGGAUGACGGCCUUCGGGUUGUAAACCUCUUUCAGCACCGACGAAGCGCAAGUGACGGUAGGUGCAGAAGAAGGACCGGCCAACUACGUGCCAGCCGCCGCCGUAA